This 89-nucleotide small RNA is filed under the name Brochothrix thermosphacta. RNAcentral's name for it is "RNA anti-toxin A". It matches the Rfam family "RNA anti-toxin A". Lineage: Bacteria; Bacillati; Bacillota; Bacilli; Caryophanales; Listeriaceae. The record is from Rfam by way of RNAcentral.
CAAUAUAAAUAGAGAGAGCUAUGCGUCAACAUAGCCCUCAAUGUAGAACCGUUUAAAGACGGUGGCUAGAAUUAAAUAGUUAUCAAAAA